GAUGAGCUGGACGCUUGAGUACGGAAGAAGAUUAGGGUCAGACUGUGUUUGCCGAAUUACAAGAGAUGCUUGGGCAGAUCCAGAAGCAAUGAGUUCUGCUGAUCCAGACACCAGCUCAGACCCAAACUGUGCAGCCAGCAGACGUUCAUGACCUGUUUUAAUCUUCUUUUUUAACUUAAUUUGUUGACUCCAUCCUUCUGGUUGGCGCUAGUUCAAUCCAAAGUUCAUUUUUAACUGCCCGUUGUCUUUGUACAUCCAUGGCUCCCACCGGCAGCAAAGUUAAACCACUUGAGUGAGAUACGUGUUCCAAUCCCAAUGCAGUCCUCUGUGCCCUAUCUUGCAAUGUUAAUGAAAGUGAAAAAUAAUUUGUGCAUCUGCCCCGUGAUUUGAAUUUGCUUCAAAAUUGAAAGACUUUUUCCUUGGCCCAUGGAAUACACUUCUACCAAGUUUCCUGAAAUCGGGCCAGUAGUUUUCCCAUAAUCCUGCUGACAGACAAAUAACCAAACCACAUCACAUGACAAGUUAAUACCUGUCAGUGGUGAUGAAAUCAGACAAGUUUCAAAGCCUAGUGUAUUCAUACCAAUAAUGAAGUACGAGAGAGUUUGUUUGGCUUUGUAUGUUUAACAGAGAAAUCCAAUAUUACUCUGAUACUAUUUCAAAUGUUUGCCUGUCUUUGCACUAAGCUAAGCUGCUCACUGUGGCUCAUAUUUAGACAGGACAGAUAUCUAACUCUGAGCAACAAAGCAAAUAAAUGUUUCACUCAAAGUGGCAAAAUAUUCCUUUAAAACACAUCUAACUCACAUUACCACCAAUGCAUCUUGUCCCAAACUGGAGCAAUGUAUGUGUUUAUCAUUAUAACACUGACAGCAAUGUUCUUUACAAAUAAUCGAUCUGGUAUUGUAACAAACAGUCUUAAUGUCACAGCCUGAGUCCACACAAUGCGAUCAUUUGUUCAGCACCCAGAAGGCACUGAAAGAAUGGUGUACUGAUGAGCUGGCCUCAGCCCUGCUGCA
Centropristis striata (black sea bass) is the source of this 1013-nucleotide long non-coding RNA. RefSeq lists it as uncharacterized. The transcript has 3 exons. The record is from RefSeq and is a predicted model, not a curated record. Lineage: Eukaryota; Metazoa; Chordata; Actinopteri; Perciformes; Serranidae.